This 444-nucleotide ribosomal RNA is filed under the name uncultured bacterium. RNAcentral's name for it is "partial 16S ribosomal RNA". It matches the Rfam family "Bacterial small subunit ribosomal RNA", at positions 338 to 795 of the family's 1533-position model. The record is from RNAcentral.
CCUACGGGUGGCAGCAGUGGGGAAUAUUGGGCAAUGGAGGAAACUCUGACCCAGCAAUGCCGCGUGAAUGAAGAAGGUCUUCGGAGUGUAAAGUUCUUUAUUCAGGGAAGAAGUCAAUGACGGUACCUGAAGAAUAAGCUCCGGCUAACUACGUGCCAGCAGCCGCGGUAAGACGUAGGGAGCAAGAGUUGUUCGGAAUGACUGGGCGUAAAGGGUGCGUAGGCGGUUGUGCAAGUUAGAAGUGAAAUACCCAGGGCUUAACUCGGGUGCUGCUUCUAAAACUGUAUGACUUGAGUGCAGUAGAGGUUAGUGGAAUUCCUGGUGUAGCGGUGGAAUGCGUAGAUAUUAGGAGGAACACCAGAGGCGAAGGCGGCUAACUGGACUGCAACUGACGCUGAGGCACGAAAGUGUGGGUAGCAAACAGGAUUAGAUACCCCGGUAGUC